RNAcentral lists this long non-coding RNA (264 nucleotides) under Elaeis guineensis (African oil palm). Its description in RNAcentral is "long non-coding RNA (EGUI_LNC070337)". Lineage: Eukaryota; Viridiplantae; Streptophyta; Magnoliopsida; Arecales; Arecaceae. The record is from RNAcentral.
GGAAGCGCUCGCGGUCAAAGGUGUGCCUAAGUGCGGGCUCUGGACGAUCAGGAUGUAAUACGGCCAGAUCUGUCUCUUCUACCCUCGCCUUCUUCGCCGACUCGGAAGUUGCAGUGCCUUCCUACUCGUGGGCCCUGAGAUUCUGGGCCAACAUCCGAGCCGUGUCUGCGCCCAUAUCUGCAACAAAGGAUGAUCGGCACAGUCUAUGAACGGGGCCGCUGAAGCGGAGAAAGUUCUGGGGCUGACCUAGGCUGAUAUGAGGGA